RNAcentral lists this ribosomal RNA (469 nucleotides) under uncultured organism. RNAcentral's name for it is "partial 16S ribosomal RNA". It matches the Rfam family "Bacterial small subunit ribosomal RNA", at positions 337 to 797 of the family's 1533-position model. The record is from RNAcentral.
ACCUGCGGGAGGCAGCAGUGGGGAAUUUUGGACAAUGGGCGAAAGCCUGAUCCAGCAAUGCCGCGUGUGUGAAGAAGGCCUUCGGGUUGUAAAGCACUUUUGUCCGGAAAGAAAUCCUUGGCUCUAAUACAGUCGGGGGAUGACGGUACCGGAAGAAUAAGCACCGGCUAACUACGUGCCAGCAGCCGCGGUAAUACGUAGGGUGCGAGCGUUAAUCGGAAUUACUGGGCGUAAAGCGUGCGCAGGCGGUUUGCUAAGACCGAUGUGAAAUCCCCGGGCUCAACCUGGGAACUGCAUUGGUGACUGGCAGGCUAGAGUAUGGCAGAGGGGGGUAGAAUUCCACGUGUAGCAGUGAAAUGCGUAGAGAUGUGGAGGAAUACCGAUGGCGAAGGCAGCCCCCUGGGCCAAUACUGACGCUCAUGCACGAAAGCGUGGGGAGCAAACAGGAUUAGAUACCCUUGUAGUCCCA